CCCUUAGAUGUCCUGGGCCGCACGCGCGCUACACUGAUGCAUUCAACGAGUUCUACCUUGGCCGAGAGGCCUGGGCAAUCUUUUGAACCUGCAUCGUGAUAGGGAUAGAUUAUUGCAAUUAUUAAUCUUGAACGAGGAAUUCCUAGUAAACGCAGAUCAUCAAUCUGCAUUGAUUACGUCCCUGCCCUUUGUACACACCGCCCGUCGCACCUACCGAUUGCAUGGUCCGGUGAAGCCUCGGGAUUGUGGCGAGUUCCCUUUAUUGGGAGUUUGUCGCGAGAACUUGUCUAAACCUUAUCAUUUAGAGGAAGGUGAAGUCGUAACA
This 325-nucleotide ribosomal RNA is filed under the name uncultured eukaryote. RNAcentral's name for it is "partial 18S ribosomal RNA". It matches the Rfam family "Eukaryotic small subunit ribosomal RNA", at positions 1470 to 1796 of the family's 1831-position model. The record is from RNAcentral.